This 203-nucleotide long non-coding RNA is filed under the name Elaeis guineensis (African oil palm). RNAcentral's name for it is "long non-coding RNA (EGUI_LNC080784)". The record is from RNAcentral. Lineage: Eukaryota; Viridiplantae; Streptophyta; Magnoliopsida; Arecales; Arecaceae.
GCACCAUUAAGGAGAUCCGGUAGAGUACCGCAUCUGUCAAAUAGAUAUUUUGAUUUUUUAUUUUGGGACAUGAUCCUAUUGAACUCAAUGAGAACAACAAAAAUUUGAUCACCUACAUGGAUGCCAUGCAAAGAUUUGACUCCGAUUAAUGGCUUGGAGUCAUGAGUUUGAAAUAGAGUCCAUGAAGGUCAAUGGUGUUGCUC